Molecule: ribosomal RNA, 216 nt
Filed under: Triticum aestivum (bread wheat)
Lineage: Eukaryota; Viridiplantae; Streptophyta; Magnoliopsida; Poales; Poaceae
Description: partial small subunit ribosomal RNA
Source: RNAcentral
UGCCUAAGUUGGAACUGCCGGGGGGUGGGAAACGCCCGGACAGUUCGCGACCUUGUGGCACUAGUAGGUGCUCAUUCUCCAAAGUUGUGUUUUUUGUGUGAAACUAGACAACCAAAAAAAAAAAUGUUUCGUCUUCGCACUCGGCUACGAGUUGCUGGUUUUGAGGGGGUUAGUAGUGAAGGUUAAAGUGGAGGUCCUGCUUUAUUUUGGCAUUAG